AUGUCUAAGUGGAGUAUUAUACAGCGAAACUGCGAACGGCUCAUUACAACAGAUAUAAUUUACUAGUUCUUGAUCCUAUAUGGAUAACUGCGGUAAUUCUGGAGCCAAUACAUGCAUCAAGCCGCGGCCUUCGGGUUCGUGGUGCAAUUAUUGGGGCAAAACCAGUCUUGUACUGUUUGCUAACUCUGGAUAAUUCUGCUUAUCGCAUGGUCUUGUACCGGCGAAGUUUCUUUCAAGUAUCUGCUUUAUCAACUAUCGUUGGUAGUUUAUUGGACUACCAUGGUGUUGACGGGUAACGGAGAAUCAGGGUUUGACUCCGGAGAGGGAGCCUUAGAAACGGCUACCAUGUCUAAGGAUAGCAGCAGGCGCGAAAAUUACCCAAUAUCAAAACGAUGAGGUAGUGACGAGAAAUAACGAGAUCGUUCUCUUUGAGGUCGAUUAUUGGAAUGAGUACAAUCCAGACAUUUUAACGAGUAUCUACGAGAGGGCAAGUCUGGUGCCAGCAGCCGCGGUAAUUCCAGCUCUCGUAAUGUAUAGAAUUAUUGUUGCGAUUAAAAAGUUCGUAGUUGGAUUGUUACGCAGGCAUGGGUCUACCUUCGUGGUACGUACUCAAUGCUUGCAUUUUGUUGGUUUUCGCGGCGUCGUUUCGGCGGCGUUCGUGAUGCCAGCAGGAUUACUUUGAACGGCUCAAGUGCUUAAAGCGAGUCUUAUGACUGAAUACCGGUGCAUGGAAUAAUGGAAUAAGGUUGCGGCCGAGUUUUAUUGGUUUUGUCGGCUGAAACAAUGGUUAACAGGAACAGCCGGGGGCAUUCGUAUCGCUGCGCGAGAGGUGAAAUUCGUGGACCGUAGCGAGACGCCCGACAGCGAAGGCAUUUGCCAAGAGUGUUUUCAUUAAUCAAGAACGAAAGUCAGAGGUUCGAAGGCGAUUAGAUACCGCCCUAGUUCUGACCGUAAACGAUGCCAACUGUCGAUCCGCUCUUGGAUCUAAUUCUUGAGCGGGGAGAUUCCCGGAAACGAAAGUUUUUCGGUUUCGGGGGAAGUAUGGUUGCAAAGCUGAAACUUAAAGGAAUUGACGGAAGGGCACCACCAGGAGUGGAGCUUGCGGCUUAAUUUGACUCAACACGGGAAAUCUCACCCGGCCAGUACAUCGUAAGGAUUGACAGACUGACAGCUCUUUCAUGAUUCGGUGAAUGGUGGUGCAUGGCCGUUCUUAGUUCGUGGAUUGAUUUGUCUGGUUUAUUCCGAUAACGAGCGAGACUUUAACUAUUAAAUAGUGCAUUCGUUGCUUUGCUGCGUUUGAACACUUCUUAAAGGAAUUUGUGGUUUCCAACCUCAAGAAAUUGAGCAAUAACAGGUCUGUGAUGCCCUUAGAUGUUCGGGGCCGCACGCGUGCUACAAUGGUGGUAACAGCGUGAUUGUCCUUUUCCGACAGGAAUUGGCAAACAGUUGAGAUAUUAUUAUGGCUGGAAUUGAGUGUUGAAAUUUUCUCUCAUGAACGAGGAAUUCCAAGUAAAUGUGAGUCAUUAACUUGCAUUGAUUACGUCCCUGCCCUUUGUACACACCGCCCGUCGCUGCCCGGGACUGAGUUACUUCGAGAAAACUAGGGAUUGUUGAAGUUCAAUGCUUCGGUAUUGUCUUUGAUGCGAACUAGUUUAAUCGCAGUGGCUUGAACCGGGCGCCA
RNAcentral lists this ribosomal RNA (1681 nucleotides) under Bursaphelenchus eucarpus. RNAcentral describes it as "SSU rRNA". It matches the Rfam family "Eukaryotic small subunit ribosomal RNA". The record is from RNAcentral. Lineage: Eukaryota; Metazoa; Nematoda; Chromadorea; Rhabditida; Aphelenchoididae.